AUCCAGAUGAAGAGUCCCAAAUAGAACGAAACGCGUGUCCUGGAU
Molecule: non-coding RNA, 45 nt
Filed under: Schistosoma mansoni
Lineage: Eukaryota; Metazoa; Platyhelminthes; Trematoda; Strigeidida; Schistosomatidae
Source: RNAcentral